GGUCUUUGGUGAUUCAUAGUAACUUUUCGAAUCGCAUGACUUUACGUCGGCGAUGGUUCAUUCAAAUUUCUGCCCUAUCAAGUUUCGAUGGUAGGAUAGAGGCCUACCAUGCUUUUUACGGGUAACGGCGAAUUAGGGUUCGAUUCCGGAGAGGGAGCCUGAGAAACGGCUACCACAUCUAAGGAAGGCAGCAGGCGCGCAAAUUACCCAAUCCUGAUUCAGGGAGGUAGUGACAAUAAAUAACAAUCCAGGACUUCGGUCUUGGAAUUGGAAUGAGAACAAUUUAAAUCUCUUAUCGAGGAACAAUUGGAGGGCAAGUCUGGUGCCAGCAGCCGCGGUAAUUCCAGCUCCAAUAGCGUAUAUUAAAGUUGUUGCAGUUAAAUAGCUCGUAGUUGAAUCUUGGGGCUGGUUUGGCGGUCGCGUCUUUGACGUGUACUGUCGGGCGGUUCUUUUACUUGUGGGGAACGUAUGUGCCCUUUGCGGGGUGUGUACGGGAACCAUGGUGUUACUUUGAAAAAAAUUAGAGUGUUUAAAGCGGGCGU
RNAcentral lists this ribosomal RNA (542 nucleotides) under uncultured fungus. RNAcentral describes it as "SSU rRNA". It matches the Rfam family "Eukaryotic small subunit ribosomal RNA", at positions 238 to 787 of the family's 1831-position model. The record is from RNAcentral. Lineage: Eukaryota; Fungi.